GAUGAACGCUGGCGGCGUGCCUAAUACAUGCAAGUCGAGCGAACGGACGAGAAGCUUGCUUCUCUGAUGUUAGCGGCGGACGGGUGAGUAACACGUGGAUAACCUACCUAUAAGACUGGGAUAACUUCGGGAAACCGGAGCUAAUACCGGAUAAUAUUUUGAACCGCAUGGUUCAAAAGUGAAAGACGGUCUUGCUGUCACUUAUAGAUGGAUCCGCGCCGCAUUAGCUAGUUGGUAAGGUAACGGCUUACCAAGGCAACGAUGCAUAGCCGACCUGAGAGGGUGAUCGGCCACACUGGAACUGAGACACGGUCCAGACUCCUACGGGAGGCAGCAGUAGGGAAUCUUCCGCAAUGGGCGAAAGCCUGACGGAGCAACGCCGCGUGAGUGAUGAAGGUCUUCGGAUCGUAAAACUCUGUUAUUAGGGAAGAACAUAUGUGUAAGUAACUGUGCACAUCUUGACGGUACCUAAUCAGAAAGCCACGGCUAACUACGUGCCAGCAGCCGCGGUAAUACGUAGGUGGCAAGCGUUAUCCGGAAUUAUUGGGCGUAAAGCGCGCGUAGGCGGUUUUUUAAGUCUGAUGUGAAAGCCCACGGCUCAACCGUGGAGGGUCAUUGGAAACUGGAAAACUUGAGUGCAGAAGAGGAAAGUGGAAUUCCAUGUGUAGCGGUGAAAUGCGCAGAGAUAUGGAGGAACACCAGUGGCGAAGGCGACUUUCUGGUCUGUAACUGACGCUGAUGUGCGAAAGCGUGGGGAUCAAACAGGAUUAGAUACCCUGGUAGUCCACGCCGUAAACGAUGAGUGCUAAGUGUUAGGGGGUUUCCGCCCCUUAGUGCUGCAGCUAACGCAUUAAGCACUCCGCCUGGGGAGUACGACCGCAAGGUUGAAACUCAAAGGAAUUGACGGGGACCCGCACAAGCGGUGGAGCAUGUGGUUUAAUUCGAAGCAACGCGAAGAACCUUACCAAAUCUUGACAUCCUUUGACAACUCUAGAGAUAGAGCCUUCCCCUUCGGGGGACAAAGUGACAGGUGGUGCAUGGUUGUCGUCAGCUCGUGUCGUGAGAUGUUGGGUUAAGUCCCGCAACGAGCGCAACCCUUAAGCUUAGUUGCCAUCAUUAAGUUGGGCACUCUAAGUUGACUGCCGGUGACAAACCGGAGGAAGGUGGGGAUGACGUCAAAUCAUCAUGCCCCUUAUGAUUUGGGCUACACACGUGCUACAAUGGACAAUACAAAGGGCAGCGAAACCGCGAGGUCAAGCAAAUCCCAUAAAGUUGUUCUCAGUUCGGAUUGUAGUCUGCAACUCGACUACAUGAAGCUGGAAUCGCUAGUAAUCGUAGAUCAGCAUGCUACGGUGAAUACGUUCCCGGGUCU
This 1372-nucleotide ribosomal RNA is filed under the name uncultured bacterium. RNAcentral describes it as "bacterial SSU rRNA". It matches the Rfam family "Bacterial small subunit ribosomal RNA", at positions 28 to 1381 of the family's 1533-position model. The record is from RNAcentral.